CCCUUAGAUGUCCUGGGCUGCACGCGCGCUACACUGAUGUGUCCAGAAAGCACCUAACCUCUUCCGAAAGGAACGGGUAACCUUUGCAAAGCACAUCGUGAUGGGGAUAGAUUAUUGCAAUUAUUAGUCUUGAACGAGGAAUUCCUAGUAAGCACAAGUCAUCAGCUUGUGUUGAUUACGUCCCUGCCCUUUGUACACACCGCCCGUCGCUCCUACCGAUUGAAUGUUCCGGUGAGCUCUUCGGACUGCGCGGUCUGCAGUUUCUGCGUUCCGUGCGGAAAGUUGCGCAAACCUUAACAUUUAGAGGAAGGAGAAGUCGUAACA
This 324-nucleotide ribosomal RNA is filed under the name uncultured eukaryote. RNAcentral's name for it is "partial 18S ribosomal RNA". It matches the Rfam family "Eukaryotic small subunit ribosomal RNA", at positions 1470 to 1796 of the family's 1831-position model. The record is from RNAcentral.